UCCCUGGUGGUUCAAUGGUUAGGACUUGGCGCUUUCGCUGCCCAGGGUGCGGGUUCAAUCCCAGGUCAGGGAA
This 73-nucleotide transfer RNA is filed under the name Bos taurus (domestic cattle). It matches the Rfam family "tRNA". Rfam says of the family: Transfer RNA (tRNA) molecules are approximately 80 nucleotides in length. RNAcentral also lists the same sequence under 4 other names. The record is from Rfam by way of RNAcentral. Lineage: Eukaryota; Metazoa; Chordata; Mammalia; Artiodactyla; Bovidae.